This 1815-nucleotide long non-coding RNA is filed under the name Marmota monax (woodchuck). The record is from RNAcentral. Lineage: Eukaryota; Metazoa; Chordata; Mammalia; Rodentia; Sciuridae.
CGGAAGCCAAGGGAGCGCUUUUCCCAGGAGCAGGCGCUCAGGACACACUGUGCGAGGAGUUGGGUGCAGGCUGGGAGAAGCUUGAACAAACUGCGCCUGCAGCUGUCUCUGUGAACACCCGAGGUGCUCCCCAGCCCUAGCAAGGCGGAGGGUCACCUCUAACCUGGUCCUGGGGCCACACUUGUUCCUGGUGGCCCAUCACUCGCUUGGCAAGCACCCACCCUGCAGGUACCGGGGCACACGAGGGCAUGAGGCCUGGCAGUCCACGCGCAGGGGAUGUUCUGGAAGAGCAGGGCGGCACCAGACGUGAAUUGGUGACACGCAGGGAACCCCGGGAGGUGGCAAGAUCAGGCGCAGGGAAGGAGGCUGGUCAGCUGUGGGCAGGACGGGGGCUCCUGUGGGAAAGGCUCUCGUGUGGUGGCCUUGGGAGCCGUGCCAGGGACAGCUCUGGGGCCCAAGGGGCGAGUCCUCCUCAGAGGGGGUGAAGCUCUGCAGGGCACCGACGGGCAACGGGUGACCACGUGUCCUGAGCGUGCCUGUGCCAAUGUGCACAUCUGCACACGCGUGUCUGAGCCUCUGUGCGCGUGUGCAGGCACGUGCCCGCGGGUGUCUGUGGUCUCUGCGUGUGUGCAUCUGGCACAUCUGCGCACACGCACGUGGCCUGCAGACCUGCGUCUGUGUCUCGGCGCAGAGCUCCACGUGCCCCUGUGGGUGCACAAGUGUGUCGGGGAGUCAGCACCAGCCAGUCGCGAGCGGAGCCCAGCAGAAGCCCCCCCACUGGCACGGGAAGAGCUGCAACGCGCCUGCGGGUGGCGCCUGGCAUGCGUGUGAGUGUGUGUGAGUGAGACCGCGUGUUCCCCGCCUGCAAGUGCUCUGAACAAAGUCCCCUCCACCUCUCCAAGCCCACCGCCAUCUGUCUCCCCUUCCGCCGGCCAUUUGAGCCAGUGAGGGGCCUCCCAGGCGGGGACCAGAUGGCAGAAUCACGGCCUCCGCUCCCCAGAGGGGGCUGGGCCCAGGCGGCUGCCCUCACUGCUGCAGCCCCUGACCUGCCCGGCACAGCCCUCCCCAGCCGCCCGCGUCCUGGGCAGGCCGCCACUCUCUCCCUGGCGCCUCGUGGCUGUCCUGACCCCUGUCCCUGGGCCCCACCUCAAGUGGCCUUUUACCUCAACCACAUAAAUCACCCUCUGGGUCAGGGCCAGGGGAGGGAGCAGGGCGGGCAGGGCAGGUCCCCCAGGUCCUGCAGACAGAGUGGCUGCCGAGUGACCCCUGACAGCCCUGGCUCUGGGCCUCGGGGCCAGAGGGCAGUUCAGAGGCUCUGGCGGGCCUUGGGCAAUCUCGCUGUCCCCACCUGAAGGGGGCCUGCCCCUGAUCUGGGGGCCCAGGUUAGGGGUGAGGCCACCCUGGCUGUGUCCUGUGGAGCAGGCAGGAGGCCGUGCUGGGUAGCCCUCACCCCACUGGGGUCCUGCUCUCUGGACACAGUGGUCAGUAUGAGAAGGGCAUGCAUACGGUUGGCACGGUCAGUAUAGGAAGGGCAGAGCUGGGUGCUGUGACCUCAGACCCUCAGAUCCUCUGUGCGGUGCCCUGAGAGCCCUCAAGCCAGCUGUGCCGUCCACAGAAAGAGGCCCCCAAGGCCAAGGCUGGACACGCAGGCCCUGAACCAACCACCGGGUUUGAAUUCUCCCUUCCUAGCUGCAAAGGCUUAGACCUGGGACUCCAAGCUCUGGCCCGUGUCCCCAGCCUCACAGUAAGAAGCCCUAGGGCUCCGCCCCCAGGCCUCCCUGAGAAUUCUGAGGCUGCAGAGCAGGACGGCCAACC